RNAcentral lists this ribosomal RNA (1140 nucleotides) under bacterium. RNAcentral describes it as "bacterial SSU rRNA". It matches the Rfam family "Bacterial small subunit ribosomal RNA", at positions 41 to 1184 of the family's 1533-position model. The record is from RNAcentral.
GGGGGGGCCUAUACAUGCAAGUCGAACGAGAUUAAGGGGCUUGCUCCUUAUGAAAGUGGCGCACGGGUGCGUAACGCGUAUGCAACCUACCUCAAUCAGGGGGAUAGCCCGAAGAAAUUCGGAUUAACACCGCAUAAAAACACAGGAUAGCAUUAUCUAAUGUUCAAAUAUUUAUAGGAUUGAGAUGGGCAUGCGUGUCAUUAGCUAGUUGGCGGGGUAACGGCCCACCAAGGCGACGAUGACUAGGGGAUCUGAGAGGAUGACCCCCCACACUGGUACUGAGACACGGACCAGACUCCUACGGGAGGCAGCAGUAAGGAAUAUUGGUCAAUGGAGGCAACUCUGAACCAGCCAUGCCGCGUGCAGGAAGACAGCCCUCUGGGUCGUAAACUGCUUUUAUUCGGGAAUAAACCUAUUUACGUGUAGAUAGCUGAAUGUACCGAAGGAAUAAGGAUCGGCUAACUCCGUGCCAGCAGCCGCGGUAAUACGGAGGAUCCAAGCGUUAUCCGGAUUUAUUGGGUUUAAAGGGUGCGUAGGCGGCUUAUUAAGUCAGGGGUGAAAGACGGUGGCUCAACCAUCGCAGUGCCUUUGAUACUGAUGAGCUUGAAUGAACUAGAGGUAGGCGGAAUGUGACAAGUAGCGGUGAAAUGCAUAGAUAUGUCACAGAACACCGAUUGCGAAGGCAGCUUACUAUGGUUUUAUUGACGCUGAGGCACGAAAGCGUGGGGAUCAAACAGGAUUAGAUACCCUGGUAGUCCACGCCCUAAACGAUGAAUACUCGCUGUUAGCGAUAUACAGUUAGCGGCUAAGCGAAAGCGUUAAGUAUUCCACCUGGGGAGUACGCCCGCAAGGGUGAAACUCAAAGGAAUUGACGGGGGCCCGCACAAGCGGAGGAGCAUGUGGUUUAAUUCGAUGAUACGCGAGGAACCUUACCCGGGCUUGAAAGUUAGUGAAUGAUCUAGAGAUAGAUCAGUGAGCAAUCACACGAAACUAGGUGCUGCAUGGCUGUCGUCAGCUCGUGCCGUGAGGUGUUGGGUUAAGUCCCGCAACGAGCGCAACCCCUAUGUUUAGUUGCCAGCACGUAAAGGUGGGGACUCUAAACAGACUGCCUGGUGCAAACAGAGAGGAAGGAGGGGGACG